This 490-nucleotide ribosomal RNA is filed under the name uncultured bacterium. Its description in RNAcentral is "partial 16S ribosomal RNA". It matches the Rfam family "Bacterial small subunit ribosomal RNA", at positions 30 to 507 of the family's 1533-position model. The record is from RNAcentral.
AUUGAACGCUGGCGGCAGGCCUAACACAUGCAAGUCGAACGGUAACAGGAAGCAGCUUGCUGCUUUGCUGACGAGUGGCGGACGGGUGAGUAAUGUCUGGGAAACUGCCCGAUGGAGGGGGAUAACUACUGGAAACGGUAGCUAAUACCGCAUAACGUCGCAAGACCAAAGAGGGGGACCUUAGGGCCUCUUGCCAUCGGAUGUGCCCAGAUGGGAUUAGCUAGUAGGUGGGGUAACGGCUCACCUAGGCGACGAUCCCUAGCUGGUCUGAGAGGAUGACCAGCCACCAUGGAACUGAGACACGGUCCAGACUCCUACGGGAGGCAGCAGUGGGGAAUAUUGCACAAUGGGCGAAAGCCUAAUGCAGCAAUGCCGCGUGUAUGAAGAAGGCCUUCGGGUUGUAAAGUACUUUAAGCGGGGAGGAAGGGAGUAAAGUUAAUACCUUUGCUCAUUGACGUUACCCGAAGAAGAAGCACCGGCUAACUCCGUG